AACAUACUCCCUCCGUCCGAAAAUACUUGUUAUCAAAAUGGAUAAAAAGAGAUGUAUUUAGAACUAAAAUACGCCUAGAUACAUCCCUUUCUAUCCAUUUUGAUGACGAGUAUUUCCAGACGGAGGGAGUAUAAG
Triticum urartu is the source of this 135-nucleotide non-coding RNA. Lineage: Eukaryota; Viridiplantae; Streptophyta; Magnoliopsida; Poales; Poaceae. The record is from Rfam.